Molecule: small RNA, 614 nt
Filed under: Histoplasma ohiense
Lineage: Eukaryota; Fungi; Ascomycota; Eurotiomycetes; Onygenales; Ajellomycetaceae
Description: hypothetical lncRNA
Source: RNAcentral
GGCCAUCGAUGCCCCGCUGCGAAAGAAUGGCUCACGCUACUUCGGUUAGCCGACAAAUGACAGGAAUGGGAGGGAAACUAUCAAGGAAGGGAAAGUUGUGGCAUGCAGCAUCGGUUUUGCUUCGUGCACGCUGGCCUCCGCGGGACAAACUUACCCAGUCCAUUCCUGUCUGUCAUUCUUGUUGACAGGGCAUUGUCAAGAUGCUGGGUUUAUAAAUAAUUUCAUUUCUUCCAGCAUAUUCAUCCAAUCCACUUCUGGGGUGAGAGGUAGAGGGGAAAUUUUUACGGAUUUUUGACAUCAUUACGCACCGCGAAGAGCCACUAAUAUUUUAGAGGCACAGUGAAGAUACAUCCAUACAACAUAACUCUCUGCUUAGCUGUUGCUCGUAAUCCGGAUCUGGCAUUGUCGUGAUUGAGAUUAUCUUGAAUACUCUGAUGCUUUAUCACUUGAUUAAGAAGAUUACUAGUAUUUUACAAUACUUACGAGUAUCUUUGAAUGUCUGCUGCAUCUGUACUAAAGACGGUUCAGGUCCUGGAGAUCCAUUGCUCAUACACACUGUGAUAUGAUAUGCCAUUCAGAGCAAACAUCACUUGGAGAGCUACCUACAUAGUGCC